RNAcentral lists this ribosomal RNA (470 nucleotides) under uncultured bacterium. Its description in RNAcentral is "partial 16S ribosomal RNA". It matches the Rfam family "Bacterial small subunit ribosomal RNA", at positions 28 to 507 of the family's 1533-position model. The record is from RNAcentral.
GACGAACGCUGGCGGCGUGCUUAGCACAUGCAAGUCGAACGGUGAACGAGGGAGCUUGCUCCCUCCGGAUCAGUGGCGAACGGGUGAGUAACACGUGAGCAAUCUGCCCCGAACUCUGGGAUAAGCGUUGGAAACGACGUCUAAUACCGGAUACGACGCGGGAGGGCAUCCUCUCCGCGUGGAAAGAACUUCGGUUCGGGAUGAGCUCGCGGCCCAUCGGCUUGUUGGUGAGGGGACGGCUCACCACGUCGACGAGGGGUAGCCGGCCUGAGAGGGUGACCGGCCACACUGGGACUGAGACACGGCCCAGACUCCUACGGGAGGCAGCAGUGGAGAAUAUUGCACAAUGGGCGCAAGCCUGAUGCAGCAACGCCGCGUGAGGGAAGACGGCCUUCGGGUUGUAAACAUCUUUUAGCAGGGAAGAAGCGAAAGUGACGGUACCUGCAGAAAAAGCACCGGCUAACUACGUG